AUUACUAUUUCCAGUGAUGCUUCUAUUCUUUCAGGGUUCUUUCCCUCAGAUCAGUAAAGGAAAUUUCAUGUUCAAUGAAAAGCCUCAGAAGGAUCUUCAAUCAUUCUUACAAGCACUCAGUGAUGAGAAACGCCAAAUGGAACUUGUGACAAGAUCUUUGUCAGGAUUGAGCUCCUCUAUUGGACCCUCUGAACAUGAGUACUCUGCUGCUGGCGCCUCUUCCUCAGACAAAUAUUUUGAUGAAUGACAUUUCUCUGUCAUGGACUGUGUCAUGUACAUGUAUUAUCAUUUGCAAUUAUACAUGUGUGUGCAUUGAUGUAAAAAGCAUUAUGAUGUCACUGAUGUCUGCACAAUACGCUGCCAUAGUAACUGGUGAUGCCGAAUGAAAGCCUUGGAAUUUCUAACUAAAUAUACCACCUUGGACUUGAUUAUUUAGUGUAUGUGUUGGUGACAUUGUGCCAAGUAAUCCAUACAAACAUAUAACAGAAUAUCCUAACCAUCUAGAUGGUAUAACUGGUUUCAUUCUACUCUAAUGAAAAGAACCAUCUUAUUGGUCUCCCUGACAGUCACUAGAUCCUACAAUAGUGUGUACAUGUACAUAUAACAGAGUAUCCCAACCAUCUAGAUGGUAUAACUGGUUUCAUUCUUCUCUAAUGAAUAGAACCAUCUUAUUGGUCUCCAUGACAGUCACUAGAUCCUACAAUAGUGUGUACAUGUACAUAUAACAGAGUAUCCCAAUCAUCUAGAUGGUACAUGUAUAACUGGUUUCAUUCUACUCUAAUGAAUAGAACCAUCUUAUUGGUCUCCAUGACAGUCACUAGAUCCUACAAUGGUGUGUUCAUGUACAUAUAACAGACUAUCCCAACCAUCUAGAUGGUAUAACUGGUUUCAUGCUACUCUAAUGAAUAGAACCAUCUUAUUGGUCUCUAUGACAGUCACUAGAUCCUACAAUAGUGUGUACAUGUACAUAUAACAGAGUAUCCCAACCAUCUAGAUGGUAUAACUGGUUUCAUUCUACUCUAAUGAUUAGAACCAUCUUAUUGGUCUCUAUGACAGUCACUAGAUCCUACAAUAGUGUGUACAUGUACAUAUAACAGACUAUCCCAACCAUCUAGAUGGUAUAACUGGUUUCAUUCUACUCUAAUGAAUAGAACCAUCUUAUUGGUCUCCAUGACAGUCACUAGAUCCUACAAUGGUGUGUACAUGUACAUAUAACAGACUAUCCCAACCAUCUAGAUGGUAUAACUGGUUUCAUUCUACUCUAAUGAAUAGAACCAUCUUAUUGGUCUCCAUGACAGUUACUAGAUCCUACAAUAGUGUGUACAUGUACAUAUAACAGAGUAUCCCAACCAUCUAGAUGGUAUAACUGGUUUCAUUCUACUCUAAUGAAUAGAACCAUCUUAUUGGUCUCUAUGACAGUCACUAGAUCCUACAAUGGUGUGUUCAUGUACAUAUUACAGAGUAUCCCAACCAUCUAGAUGGUAUAACUGGUUUCAUUCUACUCUAAUGAAUAGAACCAUCUUAUUGGUCUCCAUGACAGUCACUAGAUCCUACAAUGGUGUGUUCAUGUACAUAUAACAGACUAUCCCAACCAUCUAGAUGGUAUAACUGGUUUCAUUCUUCUCUAAUGAAAAGAACCAUCUUAUUGGUCUCCAUGACAGUCACUAGAUCCUACAAUAGUGUGUACAUGUACAUAUAACAGACUAUCCCAACCAUCUAGAUGGUAUAACUGGUUUCAUUCUACUCUAAUGAAUAGAACCAUCUUAUUGGUCUCCAUGACAGUCACUAGAUCCUACAAUAGUGUGUACAUGUACAUAUAACAGACUAUCCCAACCAUCUAGAUGGUAUAACUGGUUUCAUUCUACUCUAAUGAUUAGAACCAUCUUAUUGGUCUCCAUGACAGUCACUAGAUCCUACAAUAGUGUGUACAUGUACAUAUAACAGAGUAUCCCAACCAUCUAGAUGGUAUAACUGGUUUCAUUCUACUCUAAUGAAUAGAACCAUCUUAUUGGUCUCCAUGACAGUCACUAGAUCCUACAAUAGUGUGUACAUGUACAUAUAACAGACUAUCCCAACCAUCUAGAUGGUAUAACUGGUUUUAUUCUACUCUAAUGAAUAGAACCAUCUUAUCGGUCUCUAUGACAGUCACUAGAUCCUACAAUGGUGUGUACAUGUACAUAUAACAGAGUAUCCCAAUCAUCUAGAUGGUAUAACUGGUUUCAUUCUACUCUAAUGAAUAGAACCAUCUUAUUGGUCUCCAUGACAGUCACUAGAUCCUACAAUGGUGUGUACAUGUACAUAUAACAGAGUAUCCCAACCAUCUAGAUGGUAUAACUGGUUACAUUCUACUCUAAUGAAUAGAACCAUCUUAUUGGUCUCUCUGACAGUCACUAGAUCCUACAAUGGUUUGUACAUGUACAUAUAACAGACUAUCCCAACCAUCUAGAUGGUAUAACUGGUUACAUUCUACUCUAAUGAAUAGAACCAUCUUAUUGGUCUCCAUGACAGUCACUAGAUCCUACAAUAGUGUGUACAUGUACAUAUAACAGAGUAUCCAAACCAUCUAGAUGGUAUAACUGGUUUCAUUCUACUCUAAUGAAAAGAACCAUCUUAUUGGUCUCCAUGACAGUCACUAGAUCCUACAAUAGUGUGUUCAUGUACAUAUAACAGACUAUCCCAACCAUCUAGAUGGUAUAACUGGUUUCAUUCUACUCUAAUGAAAAGAACCAUCUUAUUGGUCUCCAUGACAGUCACUAGAUCCUACAAUAGUGUGUACAUGUACAUAUAACAGACUAUCCCAACCAUCUAGAUGGUAUAACUGGUUUCAUUCUUCUCUAAUGAAUAGAACCAUCUUAUUGGUCUCCAUGACAGUCACUAGAUCCUACAAUAGUGUGUACAUGUACAUAUAACAGAGUAUCCAAACCAUCUAGAUGGUAUAACUGGUUUCAUUCUACUCUAAUGAAAAGAACCAUCUUAUUGGUCUCCAUGACAGUCACUAGAUCCUACAAUAGUGUGUUCAUGUACAUAUAACAGACUAUCCCAACCAUCUAGAUGGUAUAACUGGUUUCAUUCUACUCUAAUGAAUAGAACCAUCUUAUUGGUCUCCAUGACAGUCACUAGAUCCUACAAUAGUGUGUACAUGUACAUAUAACAGAGUAUCCCAACCAUCUAGAUGGUAUAACUGGUUUCAUUCUUCUCUAAUGAAUAGAACCAUCUUAUUGGUCUCCAUGACAGUCACUAGAUCCUACAAUAGUGUGUACAUGUACAUAUAACAGAGUAUCCAAACCAUCUAGAUGGUAUAACUGGUUUCAUUCUACUCUAAUGAAUAGAACCAUCUUAUUGGUCUCCAUGACAGUCACUAGAUCCUACAAUGGUGUGUACAUGUACAUAUAACAGAGUAUCCCAACCAUCUAGAUGGUAUAACUGGUUACAUUCUACUCUAAUGAAUAGAACCAUCUUAUUGGUCUCUCUGACAGUCACUAGAUCCUACAAUGGUUUGUACAUGUACAUAUAACAGACUAUCCCAACCAUCUAGAUGGUAUAACUGGUUACAUUCUACUCUAAUGAAUAGAACCAUCUUAUUGGUCUCCAUGACAGUCACUAGAUCCUACAAUAGUGUGUACAUGUACAUAUAACAGACUAUCCCAACCAUCUAGAUGGUAUAACUGGUUUCAUUCUUCUCUAAUGAAUAGAACCAUCUUAUUGGUCUCCAUGACAGUCACUAGAUCCUACAAUAGUGUGUACAUGUACAUAUAACAGAGUAUCCAAACCAUCUAGAUGGUAUAACUGGUUUCAUUCUACUCUAAUGAAAAGAACCAUCUUAUUGGUCUCCAUGACAGUCACUAGAUCCUACAAUAGUGUGUACAUGUACAUAUAACAGAGUAUCCCAACCAUCUAGAUGGUAUAACUGGUUUCAUUCUACUCUAAUGAAUAGAACCAUCUUAUUGGUCUCCAUGACAGUCACUAGAUCCUACAAUAGUGUGUACAUGUACAUAUAACAGAGUAUCCCAACCAUCUAGAUGGUAUAACUGGUUUCAUUCUUCUCUAAUGAAUAGAACCAUCUUAUUGGUCUCCAUGACAGUCACUAGAUCCUACAAUAGUGUGUACAUGUACAUAUAACAGAGUAUCCCAACCAUCUAGAUGGUAUAACUGGUUUCAUUCUUCUCUAAUGAAUAGAACCAUCUUAUUGGUCUCCAUGACAGUCACUAGAUCCUACAAUAGUGUGUACAUGUACAUAUAACAGAGUAUCCCAACCAUCUAGAUGGUAUAACUGGUUUCAUUCUACUCUAAUGAAUAGAACCAUCUUAUUGGUCUCCAUGACAGUCACUAGAUCCUACAAUAGUGUGUACAUGUACAUAUAACAGAGUAUCCCAACCAUCUAGAUGGUAUAACUGGUUUCAUUCUUCUCUAAUGAAUAGAACCAUCUUAUUGGUCUCUAUGACAGUCACUAGAUCCUACAAUGGUGUGUUCAUGUACAUAUAACAGACUAUCCCAACCAUCUAGAUGGUAUAACUGGUUUCAUUCUACUCUAAUGAAUAGAACCAUCUUAUUGGUCUCCAUGACAGUCACUAGAUCCUACAAUAGUGUGUACAUGUACAUAUAACAGAGUAUCCCAACCACCUAGAUGGUAUAACUGGUUUCAUUCUACUCUAAUGAAUAGAACCAUCUUAUUGGUCUCCAUGACAGUCACUAGAUCCUAUAAUAGUGUGUACAUGUACAUAUAACAGAGUAUCCCAAUCAUCUAGAUGGUAUAACUGGUUUCAUUCUACUCUAAUUAAUAGAACCAUCUUAUUGGUCUCCAUGACAGUCACUAGAUCCUACAAUGGUGUGUACAUGAACCCAUUUCAGUUUUAUCCCUGGAACAUUAUUUUAAUCAUAAAAUUACUGUGAGCUCUUUCUAUCCCAGAAUGUUUUGCAAUGAAUUUAUAAUGUGAAAUGCUUUCAAACUGAUAUUGAAACAUUUUUGGGGGUUAAUAUGAUAGCUAAUGAUAUCAUGUGAUGCAUUUUUAAGAGACUCAACUUUUCAGCAUAGAAGAUUAUGCAGUUGUCACCCGUCGAUGCUAAUUUUCAUCUAUGACCAAGCACAUGAUUUAAAAAAACAUGAAUUCACCUUGUUAUUUUUAUGCAAUUAUAAAGAUUUUAAGUAUUUUUCAAAGCUAUUCCAAAUAUUUUUACAUUAUUAUUAUUAACCAAAACCCAUGUUUAAUUUGUCAAAAUUACAUCAGUUUUAUGCACUAUCAAGCCAAACUCUUUUAGAGGUAAAACUGUAUAAUAUUUCUUAGAAUCUUGUUGCUAUGUUAUUUGAGAUCGAAGAUCCAACAACUACAUGUAUACUGUAGAAAAUGAGAAAGACCUUCCUUUAAUUAUGCUUUGUAUAUCAUAAAAGAGAAAGUCACAAUUUCAAUUCUAUUAUGUUCAUCAUAAAGGAGAAAUUCACAUUUUCAAUUUUGUUAUGUUCAUCAUAAAGGAAAAAGUCACUCCUUCAAUUCUAUUAUGUUUAUCAUAAAGGAGAAAGUCACUCCUUCAAUUCUAUUAUGUUUAUCAUAAAGGAGAAAGUCACUCCUUCAAUUCUAUUAUGUUUAUCAUAAAGAGGAAAGUCACUCCUUCAAUUCUAUUAUGUUUAUCAUAAGGAGAAAGUCACUCCUUUAAUUUUAUUAUGUUUAUCAUAAAGGAGAAAGUCACUCCUUCAAUUCUAUUAUGUUUAUCAUAAAGAAUAAAGUCACUCCUUUAAUUCUAUUAUGUUCAUCAUAAAGGAGAAAGUCACUCCUUCAAUUCUAUUAUGUUUAUCAUAAAGGAGAAAGUCACUCCUUCAAUUCUAUUAUGUUUAUCAUAAAGGAGAAAGUCACUCCUUUAAUUCUAUUAUGUUUAUCAUAAAGAAGAAAGUCACUCCUUCAAUUCUAUUAUGUUUAUCAUAAAGGAGAAAGUCACUCCUUCAAUUCUAUUUUAUCAUAAGGAGAAAGUCUUUCUUUUAAAUGGAGGGAAUGUUAUAUUCUUAUCAUCUGGUUUAACAAAUCUUGCCUAUUUCAAAAUUAAAAUUUAAGCCUUUAUGUUAUUUUCACAAAAAUGUUGUGAUUAUCAUGCAUGUACAUGUAGCUAUAUUAGAUAAUCAUGUUGAAACUGGAUGAGGAACAUUCCAUUCAUGAUUUAAUCACGGUUUUUAAACCACUUUUGUUUGUUUGAUGUUAUCAAUUUUAUAGACAUGAAAUCAAUUUAAUAUGAACUUUGAAACCAAGUUGCAAUCUUUCAGAUUGAAAGGCAGUUCUUUUCACACAAAUAAAUGACCUACCAAUAUAAUAUUUGAUUCUCUUCAUAAUAAUAUGCAUAUUCAAUGACAACAUACAAUAUAUUACUUGUUUUCUGAUGCGCACAUACUCUGAGUUACUCAUCCAUUCUCAAUUCAAUGUUUAUAUCUAACUUGUAAUAAUGAUAAAGCAAAAUGAAAAGAUACCAUUUGAUUAUGAUAAAGAUAAAAAUUCUUCAUCUUUUAGAAGUGAUUCAAAUCAAACUACUAUUUUUUUUUCAAUUUUAGAAGAACAGAGGGGCGGGGCAAUUUCAAAAUCAUACAAAAUUGAUUAUACAAUAUAGAUACACAAGCUCACAAUAGAUUACAUUGAGUAUGAUUACCCCUUGGAUGAAAAUAAUCUUGUUGAUUUUCAUCUGUAGCCAUGGUAUCAGAAUGAUUUAUCUUUAAAAAAGAGACCAAUAAUCAGCUUCAAGUGUUUCAUUAUAUUUCAUCUUGUUCUUUCCAUUGUAAGAAAAAGCAAUGUGGAAUUAUUUUAAGCUACAAGUACAUGUCCACAGUGUAUGUGAAGUCUUUCAAUUUUAAUAAUGUAUAGAGUCAUAAAUAAUACAUGUUUAUAUAUAAUGUAAAUUAGUAGUGUAAAGUUUAGAAGACAGUUUUGUCUAUAAUAAACAUGAAAUUUGGUUAACUUCAGGAAUUUUCAUGGGUACAUUGUUAACUGUUUAUAUCUAACUAUUUUUCCAUUCCUGUAUGUCAUUUGCUUUAAAAGUUCAAUGCCUUUUAAUGUUUAUUUAUUAUCACAUCUCCCAUGAAUUACUCAUCCUUCAGAUGUAAGAUGUUUGAUAAUUUAUUGUAUCCAUCCAUCCUGUAUAGACCAAUAUAUGGUUUAGGAGGAUUUUAAUGGUAAUUUGAAAUGUUGUGUAUCAAAAUGACUAGGUAUUGACUUUUAUCAAAUUUGUGAAUCAGAAAAUCCCCAAUAUGUUACGUCUUGAAUAUGAAUCAAAAUUUAAACUGUUUUGUCUUAGGAUAAUUGAUUAAAAGGAUGGCUCCUGUCAGAAUAUUGUGAAGUGGUACACCUGUAUUUUGGACACAGUGGUAUUACUAAUUAUGUGUUGUUAAUACAUGUAGUAGAAUUUGUGUAUCAAAUUAGUAGUAGUGUCAAAUUUGUGUAUCAAAAAUGCCCAAAUCCCAUUUAAUUGAGAAGUUGAUUAAUGAGUAGAAAGGAUUACUUCUGUCUGAUUAUUGUGAAGUGGUACGUAAUGGCGCUCUAUGAAGGUAUUUGGGCAAGGAAACAAGCUAAAAAUGUAAAAGAUAUCUCCAAAUCAAUCUUCCUAUAGCUAAAGUCUGUGCGUUUUUCACGAUUGAAGUCUACGUUUUAUUCAUAUAACUAUUUCCAAAUCUGCGCAAAUAAUUUUUCACCAAUUUUUCAAAAGUGAGUGGUGCUCACUCAAGCGGAACAAUUGUUUGACAGUUACGGAGGCGCGAUAGCUCAGUCGGUAGAGCGGGGGUUUCGGAUUCCGGUGACCCGGGUUCGAUUCCCAAGUGAUGCGCUAGUGCCCUUUUGUAAGGCAUUUAUCCUCAUUACCAGGUCCCUCGGAGAGGACCUUAAGCCGUCGGUCCCCUGGUUGCUUGCUCACAGGCAUUCGUGCUUUCUUAGCAGUCAGGUAAAAACCUCGGUAUGUAUGUAUAUCAUCAUUGGCUUAAAGAGAUCUGUACCAAUGUUAAAAUGUGGAAAAAUCUUCAAGAUAUUACAAAUGUAUAAUUUUACAGGAUUUUUUCUGAGUGUAAACUUUUUUUAUAUGAACUGUAUACAUGUAUGUCAUUUGCUUUAAAGCCAAGGCCUUCAUGUUAAUUUCUUAUGACAUUUCUCAUGAAUUACAUAUUCUCCCGAUGUAAGAUGUGUGAUAAUUUAUUUUGUAUCCACCUGUAGAGGCCAUUGUGAUGUCACUGGUUUUGAAUUGUCAUUUCUGCCUGAAAUAGUUCUUGACUAUUGUCAAAUGUGUGUAUCACACAAUCCACUUCAUUAUGUAGAAAGGCUGACUUCUGUCAAAUUUAUUGUGAAGUUGUACACCUGUACUUUUGACACAAUGGAGUUACUUAUAAUGCAUUCUAAAUGCAAAUAGAAGAGUUUAUCGUUUUAAUUGCAUGAAUCAUUAAAACAUUAAAACAUGUAAUAUGUCAUUCAUAUUGCUAAAGAUAUGAAUUAAUAUUAUACACAGUAUCAUGGUACAGUAAAACCUGUAUAUAUAUAUCAAACAAUAGAGAGAAGCAGUCUUUAUAAUGGGAUAGUCUUUACGAUCAUGGUCUAGUAAUACAUGUUUCAAUGAUAUACAAGGAUACACACUUAUUAUCAGGGAUGGUGCCUCAAACGGUAGCUCCACCAUAUUUUUUCAAGCACUAGUAAACCAAGAUAGAGAAAAGGAUGGAGUAAAGAGAAUAAAAGAAAUAAGUGUAUCACCAGCAGAGGUUUCAGCUGUGUAGCUCAAUAAUAAACCCUAAAAUACAAAUGAUUAAAAUAUGCCAUCUUUCAGUUUUUAUGUCCAUAUUGUUACUUUUGGUGUAAAUUUUUUACACGUAUUGAUUUGAUAUUUAUUAUGGAUUCAGUUUAUAGAAGCAAUUGUGCUCAAUUUGACCCCUCCACAAGUGUAAUCCCUAUUUAAUGUAAAUUAUUUUGUAUAUUUAUAUAUUUUUUAAUUGUAGUAAUGAAGUUGAAUUUUAAUUUCAAUCAUCUUCUUAUAUAGAGUCAAUAAGAUGUUGUAGACAGAUGGUCUCUAAAGCAGCUUUGACUGUAAAUACAAAUGUUCCAAUAAUAGUGACUUGUGAAUACUGAAUGCAAUUGUUGUGGAACUUUUAUACACAUGGGAAUGAAUUUUAGAAUAAAUAUUACUCUAUUUUUUCAUGUA
Molecule: long non-coding RNA, 9144 nt
Organism: Lytechinus pictus (painted urchin)
Lineage: Eukaryota; Metazoa; Echinodermata; Echinoidea; Temnopleuroida; Toxopneustidae
Exons: 2
Source: RefSeq, a predicted model, not a curated record